RNAcentral lists this ribosomal RNA (466 nucleotides) under uncultured bacterium. RNAcentral describes it as "partial 16S ribosomal RNA". It matches the Rfam family "Bacterial small subunit ribosomal RNA", at positions 28 to 507 of the family's 1533-position model. The record is from RNAcentral.
GAUGAACGCUGGCGGCGUGCUUAACACAUGCAAGUCGAACGGAAAGGCCCAAGCUUGCUUGGGUGCUCGAGUGGCGAACGGGUGAGUAACACGUGGGUGAUCUGCCCUGCACUUUGGGAUAAGCCUGGGAAACUGGGUCUAAUACCGGAUAGGACCAUCGUUUAGUGUCGGUGGUGGAAAGUUUUUCGGUGUGGGAUGAGCUCGCGGCCUAUCAGCUUGUUGGUGGGGUAAUGGCCUACCAAGGCGUCGACGGGUAGCCGGCCUGAGAGGGUGUACGGCCACAGUGGGACUGAGAUACGGCCCAGACUCCGACGGGAGGCAGCAGUGGGGAAUAUUGCACAAUGGGCGCAAGCCUGAUGCAGCGACGCCGCGGGGGGGAUGACGGCCUUCGGGUUGUAAACUCCUUUCGCCAAGGACGAAGCGUUUUGUGACGGUACUUGGAGAAGAAGCACCGGCUAACUACGUG